RNAcentral lists this long non-coding RNA (265 nucleotides) under Vigna radiata. RNAcentral describes it as "long non-coding RNA (VRAD_LNC010833)". The record is from RNAcentral. Lineage: Eukaryota; Viridiplantae; Streptophyta; Magnoliopsida; Fabales; Fabaceae.
AUGUCUUCAAUUGACUACGGACGUGAGGAGAAAUUUGAAAUUUAUUGACAAUGGGAUCCUUUCUACUACCAUAGCUCACAAUCACCUUAAGUUUCAAAAGAUUAGCAAGCACAUCCUCACCCAAUUUCUCUGCUGUUUUCUUCUCUGUAUUUUUAAUCAAACCCUCCCCAAUCCACAAGUUAAUUGCAUUUCUUUUCCUUAUCACAACAUUUGGAAGGAAAACUAAGAGAGAACACAAGUAAUCUUUUAAUAAGUUCAAAUCGUG